RNAcentral lists this ribosomal RNA (427 nucleotides) under uncultured Thermomonas sp. RNAcentral's name for it is "bacterial SSU rRNA". It matches the Rfam family "Bacterial small subunit ribosomal RNA", at positions 355 to 774 of the family's 1533-position model. The record is from RNAcentral. Lineage: Bacteria; Pseudomonadati; Pseudomonadota; Gammaproteobacteria; Lysobacterales; Lysobacteraceae.
UAGGGAAUAUUGGACAAUGGGCGCAAGCCUGAUCCAGCCAUGCCGCGUGAGUGAAGAAGGCCCUCGGGUUGUAAAGCUCUUUUGUCCGGGAAGAAAAGCAUCGGGCUAAUACCUCGGUGUUCUGACGGUACCGGAAGAAUAAGCACCGGCUAACUUCGUGCCAGCAGCCGCGGUAAUACGAAGGGUGCAAGCGUUACUCGGAAUUACUGGGCGUAAAGCGUGCGUAGGUGGUUUGUUAAGUCUGAUGUGAAAGCCCUGGGCUCAACCUGGGAAUGGCAUUGGAAACUGGCGGACUCGAGUGCGGUAGAGGGGUGUGGAAUUCCCGGUGUAGCAGUGAAAUGCGUAGAGAUCGGGAGGAACACCAGUGGCGAAGGCGACACCCUGGACCAGCACUGACACUGAGGCACGAAAGCGUGGGGAGCAAACA